RNAcentral lists this ribosomal RNA (428 nucleotides) under Reticulitermes flavipes (eastern subterranean termite). RNAcentral's name for it is "partial 16S ribosomal RNA". It matches the Rfam family "Archaeal large subunit ribosomal RNA", at positions 1889 to 2554 of the family's 2987-position model. Lineage: Eukaryota; Metazoa; Arthropoda; Insecta; Blattodea; Rhinotermitidae. The record is from RNAcentral.
CGCCUGUUUAUCAAAAACAUCUCUUCUCGUUAGUUUUUGAAGUAUGGCCUGCCCACUGACCUUGAAUGUUGAAGGGCCGCGGUAUUUUGACCGUGCAAAGGUAGCAUAGUCAUUAGUUCUUUAAUUGUGAUCUGGUAUGAAUGGCUUGACGAGGCAUGAGCUGUCUUAAUUUUGAAUUGUUUAUUGAAUUUGGUCUUUGAGUUAAAAUUCUUAGAUGUUUUUAUGGGACGAGAAGACCCUAUAGAGUUUGACAUUUAUUAUGGUCUCUUUCUGUUUGUGAGGGUUCACUAGGGCUGUCUAAUAUGUAUUGUUGGGGUGAUGGGAGGGAUAUUAUUUAACCCCUCCUUUGUGUUGUUAUAUUUAUUUAUAUUUGCUUGAUCCAUUUAUUUUGAUUGUAAGAUUAAAUUACCUUAGGGAUAACAGCGUAA